UUGUGCCUACGGGGGGCAGCAGUGAGGAAUAUUGGUCAAUGGGCGCGAGCCUGAACCAGCCAAGUCGCGUGAGGGAGGACGGCCCUACGGGUUGUAAACCUCUUUUGCCGGGGAGCAACGGGCGUCACGUGUGGCGCCACUGAGAGUACCCGGAGAAAAAGCAUCGGCUAACUCCGUGCCAGCAGCCGCGGUAAUACGGAGGAUGCGAGCGUUAUCCGGAUUUAUUGGGUUUAAAGGGUGCGUAGGCGGACUGUUAAGUCAGCGGUAAAAGCCCGGGGCUCAACCCCGGCGAGCCGUUGAAACUG
Molecule: ribosomal RNA, 305 nt
Filed under: uncultured bacterium
Lineage: Bacteria
Description: bacterial SSU rRNA
Rfam family: Bacterial small subunit ribosomal RNA
Source: RNAcentral